Molecule: ribosomal RNA, 253 nt
Filed under: uncultured bacterium
Lineage: Bacteria
Description: partial 16S ribosomal RNA
Rfam family: Bacterial small subunit ribosomal RNA
Source: RNAcentral
UACAGAGGGUGCGAGCGAUAAUCGGACUUACUGGGCGUAAAGCGCAUGUGGGUGGCGACGUAAGUCGGGUGUGAAAGCCCCGGGCUCAACCUGGGAAUUGCAUUCGAGACUGCAUUGCUGGAGUACGGAAGAGGAGGGCGGAAUUCCCGGUGUAGCGGUGAAAUGCGUAGAUAUCGGGAGGAACAUCAGUGGCGAAGGCGGCCCUCUGGUCCAGUACUGACACUCAAGUGCGAAAGCGUGGGGAGCAAACAGG